This is a non-coding RNA of Daphnia pulex (common water flea), 82 nucleotides long. Lineage: Eukaryota; Metazoa; Arthropoda; Branchiopoda; Diplostraca; Daphniidae. The record is from Rfam.
UAUAGUGUAGCCGAGUGGCCUAUGGCAAUGGUUUUAGGCACCAGUCUCGUCGGAGUCAAGGGUUCGAAUCCUUUCGCUGUCA